RNAcentral lists this long non-coding RNA (13248 nucleotides) under Populus trichocarpa (black cottonwood). RNAcentral's name for it is "long non-coding RNA (PTRI_LNC004498)". The record is from RNAcentral. Lineage: Eukaryota; Viridiplantae; Streptophyta; Magnoliopsida; Malpighiales; Salicaceae.
CCGUUGUUUUAAUGCUGAAAAGUGACAACUCAAUUGAUCUUCCCCAACCUCAACGGCCGGCCAUUUUUGCUGGGAGAUUUACAGACCACCACGAGGCAAAAGCUAAUGAUUGUUCUGUCAAUGGCUUAACAGUUUCUGAUAUUUUACCUCGUUGAUGAAGCUCGUGAAUGAAGUGUGUGACCAGGAAGCCCUCUUAGGUAUGUCCGCUGCUAUAUAGGAUGGGGCAAAAUACAUUCAUUGUUCCGCAGUUACAAAAAAUGGUAUGAAAGAGUAAUAAUGGAUUGAAAUCAAUUAUCUGUUAAAUUGUUUUUAAUAUAAUUAUUUAUUACAAUCUUUUGAAUGUGAAUACUGAAUAUUUGAUUUGGUAUUUACAAUGAUAAUUAAAAAAUUUCUUUGAUAGUAAUGUUAAAGGUACACAUGGAUGGAGGGACCAUGAGUCACCAAUCACUGAAUGUAUAGGGACUUGCAUGACCAAAAUUCCAGUAAAGGAGUUGAUACGACUAAUUUUCAAAACUUGAGGGAUUACAAAUGUAUUUUACCAAGUUAGAUGUUAGGUUUUGUGUAAAACUUUAUUGCACUGGAUUAACUAAUCAUUUUUGGUCCCUGUACUUUUGUUUAAGUGCCCAAUGUUGAGUUCUGCGCAAAUAUUCUUAUACAUCUUAUCGAAUUUGGAGGGGCACGAUUUGAUGAACUUAAAUAAUAAAACUAGUUUUAUACUAGCUGACACAACACCUGAUAUUAACUAUAACUAAAAUUAAUCAGUAUUUCACUAUAAUAUGGACUACUAUGCACUGUAAGUAAAUUCAUUAAACUGUAGCAUGGGUUAAUAUGCACUGUAAAUAAAUUCACUGUGAAUUGUAUUAUUCUGCACAGUAGCGGUUUUGUGAGUGCUUUCACUGUGAACCGCAUUGUUUGGUAGGGGCAUGUGUGAAGCUGCAUCCAACAGGCCCCAAGCGUCAAGCUGGAGGCGCGUCCCCUGAGAUGCGCACAUGUGGUGCUAGGGCUGCCUGCCUGGGGUUGGGAACAAGUGGGGCACGAGCAUGGCUCCCUCCCAGCGCAGCCCAAGCACCACGUGGCACUUGGGAUGCCUGCCUGAAGGCUGAGCACACUACUGCACACACAUGGCACUUGGGUUGUGCUGGAAGUGAGCCAUGUUCAUGCCCCACUUGGGGACACCUGAUGCUUGGGUCAUGACGCUGGACCCGAGGUUCUUGGAUCCUAAGAUUCUAAAUAUUAUUGUUUGUUUUAAAAAUAUUAUUAUUAUUAUUAUAAUUAAUAUUAUUAAUAAAAUAAUUAAUAAAUUUGAAAGAAGAUAUUAUUAAUAAUAUUGAAAACAUAUUAUUAUUUACAUUAUAAAUUUUUAUGAAUUUUUUUAUAAAAAUCAAAAGUUAGCCCGCGGCAUAGUAUUAUUAAAAAUAGUGAACAAUUCUAAGUAUUAAUAUAAAAAUUAUUAUAAUUUGAGUUGUAAAUAUUAUUAUUUUUCUUAUAAUACAAAGUAUUCAUCUAAAAAAUAUUUGAGAAUUUUUUGAAAAACUAACCCUAUCAAGUUUUAUCAUAUUUGUUCUAAUAAACAAAUAUAUUUUCUACUGAUUUUCGUUUUCAUCUAUGUAAUUUCAAUUAUUUAAUUUUAUUUCCUUAAUUACUUCUUUAAUGAGAUUGUGAUUUUUAAUAAUGCAAUUAAAAUCCACACACCUGACAGAAAUGGGGGAGGGAGAAAUUGGAACAAAGAUGAAAGAUGCAAGAUCUAAUUGAAACAAACCAAAGAUUUUAGAUGAAAUUAAAAUCUAUCCUUUAUUUUUUUGAGUUUUUUAAUAAGACCAAUUAAAUUCCGUAUUCUUUUCUCCACGCGCAGCAUUAAGACGUACAAGAAGACUUUUCAUCACGGGACUUUUCUCUAUCCUUUGAUGCACAAGCUGCAUAAAAUAGCAAGAGAAGACCUUCAACUCUUGAACCCACUCGAGGAAAGUGCAACCAUAUGCGAAUAGGCAUUUGAGAUUCUCUGGACAGUACUCGUGGCAUGGAGUGUGACUCUUGAAUAUAUUUUCUCAUAAAUAAGAGGACCAAAAAGCAAGUCAAUGGUACGUUGGUCCCAAUAGAUAAGAUUAAUAAAGAUUUUUGGGGUUGGGGGUAACAUGUUUUUUAUUAAAAUUUUAUUUUAUUUUAUUUUAAAUUAAUAUUUUAGUAUUUUUAAAUUGUUUUAAUAUAUUGAUAUCAAAAAUAAAUUUUAAAAAAUAAAAAAAAUUAUUCUUAUACAUCAUCUAGGGCACUCCAAACACUUCUAGAUAGUCCUCCUAAGAAUUGAGGAUAAUUCAAAAUCUAGAUAAAUUCAACCAGGGGAAUGGUUUGAUAAAAAUUAAGAAAAAAUCAUCCAGAAUAAUCAAAUAUGAAUGUUAGGGAUUUUAGUGGAGAUCACAUACAAUAACUUUGUACCAUUUUAGUGGAGAUCAGAUUUUGUCUCUUGUGUGAGCAAGAACAAAUAUGGGAUUUUUCCGUCGGCGUAAGACACAUAUUCCGUCGGUAAUUAAUUUACCGACGAAAUCACCGAUGAAAAUGUUCCGUCGGUGCAUCUUUCAUCGGUAAUUUUUUGUCCGUUGGUAAUAAAAAAAUAUUAUUACCGACGGAAUAGACGCGUAAAAAAAAUUACCCGCUUCAUUCCAUCGGUAUAUCCCUCAAAAAAUACAAUCGGUAAUUCCGUCGGUAAUUAUUUAAAAACAUUUGUAAAAAAAUAUAUUUUAUAAAAUAAUUAAAUUAACAUAAAUCAACACUCUAUAAUAUAUACUAAAAAUGCUUGGAAAAAACAAUAAGAAAAUCAACUCAAACAAAUUUGCAACAAAUAAAUAAAACAAAAAAAUAAAUUCAACUAAAAAAAUUCAUAUGAAAAAAAUGAAGUUCCAAUUGCUAAAAAUUUAAAAAUCCUAAAAAUUGAUCUCAUAUGAAAAAAAAAUCUCACAACAAUAUUUAUACAAUUAUUAAGAACAAAAACAAUUAAAAAUAAAAUAAAAAACAAAUAUAGUGAAAAAAAUCAUGAAAAAAGAAGAAAAAAGAAAAAUCUUACCUUAAUGUAGUUGCAAGUGAAGCUAAGGAGAAAGAAAAAAAUUUCGUAAAGCAUAUUAAUUAAAAAAAAACUAAGAGGAUAAAAGAAGAAAGAAGAAGAAGACAUACCCGAGCAUGGAGGAGAAGAGAAGGAGAUGAGGAUAGAAGAGAAGAGAAAGAAAUAGAUAUUGAUGUUUUUUACAUAUAGUGAAGAAGAAGAAGAAGAAAUGAGUCUGUCUCUUGUGAAAUAAGGGGAUUCGGGCUUUUUAUUGGGCGGGUUAGGAAUUACCGACGGAGAAUUAAAUAUUAAUAUUUGUUCAUUAUUCCGUCGGUAAUUUUGUCUGUAAUAUUUCAUUUAAAUUUUUAAUUUCAUAAAAAAGUUUUCAGAAACCGCCAACAAUCACUGACAAUUUUUCAAUCCGUCGGUGAUUCCGUCUGUAAUAUUUAAAUGAAAAUUUUAAAUUAAUUGAAUUUUUUCAGAAAACCGCCAUAUAACACCGACGACUUUUCAAUCCGUCGGUGAUUUUGUCCGUAAAGAACAACAAUUAACAGUGCAAUUGGAAAGUAAACAGUUCUAGAGCUCUUUAAAAAAUACCGACGGAAUAAUUCCGUUGGUAAUUAUGUUGGUAAAAAAUGACACAUCAUUUUUUUUGCUUUGUUUUAAUUUUUUUUCCCACUGUAAUUCCCUCGGUGUUUCUGUUUGUAUUUAUCGAUUUUCUGGUAGUGACUAGCAUAAUGUAUAUAUACUUUUCAUCCAUUUGUCUAUUAAAAUCUUGAACAAAAAUCCUAGGAAAAACAAAAAUUAAUAUCCCAUAUAAAUGUAUGGAAUAUGGUAGCUUGAAUAUAAGACAAUUUUAACAUCACAUGGAGCCUGAUUAUUUCUUGAAAAAUCAAAGAUGCUCCUUGAUGACAACAUCAAACAAAGAAAGAGACAUGAUGAUGGAGAUAGAUCAGAAUGGGAAAUUGCGACCAUAUGCGAAUAACCACUUGAGAUUCUGAGUGGAUAAGUUUGAACAGUACUCGUGGCAUUGAGUGCGACUCUUGAUUAUAUUUUCUAAUUAAUAAGAGGACCAAAAAGCAAGUAAAUGGUACGUUGGUCCCGUGUUUAAGAUUAAUAAAGAAUAAUAACUUUCAGCUGUUUUUUUUAUUAAAAUUUAAUUUUUUUACUUUAAAUUAUUUUUUAAUUUUUUAAAAUUAUUUUAAUAUGUUGAUGUCAGAAAUAAAUUUUUUAAAAUUAAAAAAAUUAAUUUUUAUUAAUUCCCUAGCAAAAUAACAUUUUAAAAAAUAUAAUUUACUAUACUUUUAAACAUCAUAAUUCAAAAUCAAGGUCAAUUCAACCAGGGAAUGGUUUGAUCAUAAAAAUUAAAAACAAAUCUUCAAGAAUAUAUAGAAUGUUAGGGAUUUUAGUGGAAAUCGCACACAACAACUUGUAACAUUUCAACACAUGAGUUUUUCAAACUAAGAAUAUUGUUUUUGAAUGUAUAAUUCCAAUUCUUUUGUUAACAACUUCCGUUUUGAAUAUUCUUUUUUUUUUGUCAAUAUUCAAACUCUUUUGAAUAUUCUUCUAUUCUUAACAACAGUGCUGCAUCUAAUAAUUAAGUUAAUAAUUUAAGUCAUUUUAUAUCAGAUUCAAUUUAGUAAGAAACCUAUCAUUCUAUUCUGACUAAUUAAUCUUUUCAAAAAACGCUCAUGCUAUCAAAUUCUAUUUAUAAAAUUUCACAGCAUUAAUCCAAGUAAUGGAUUUUGAAUAAAAUACUCUUUCGUUGUUUAUAAAAUAUUAAAAAAUAAUAUAAAUUAUAUUUUAUAACCUUUCUUGACAAUUAAAAUAAUUUUUUAACAUAAUAUUAGAGUUUUUAUUAUUAAAAGGUUACAAGUUGGAAUCAAUAUGAAGGUUUUUAUUGAUCUUUUUUAUGUAAAGCCGCCAGAAGUUGCUUUCGUAAAUGGAAUGCCUUGCAUAAAUUUGUUACUCAUCUCAAUCCUAGCUUUUUAUUGCUUGUCUUGUCUAAAUUUUUGUUAAGAUGUUCAUCCAAAAUAUAAUUAUGACCAGGCAUGCACUUUUAGCCAUGUGUUUCUUGAUUAUACUGCUUUCAAUGCUCUUUGCCCUUGUUCUUGCAGACCCUCUAUUCACAACUUGCUCAACUAAUGAAUAUGGUAACUAUGAUCUGAAAAGCCCAUUCGGAAAGAACGUGAAGAUUGUCCUUGAAACCUUACCUUCCAUCACUUCAUCAACCGGCUAUAACAGCACAGCUAUCGGUAGAUUCCCUGACAAAGUCACUGGCAAAGCACUUUGCAGGGGAGAUGUCACUUCGAGUGCUUGUCAGACUUGUUUGAGAGAUGCAAGCCAAAAACUGUUGAAAGAUUGCGAAAGUAAAGAAGCAAUCAUGUGGUAUGAACGAUGCCAAAUUCACUACUCGUUUCAGAAUAUAAUUUCAUUGGAUGUUUAUGCCGGGAAGUAUCCAGACUUGGAAUCUCAUAAAAAAUCCGUAUCAGAUCCUGUUCAUUUCUACGAGAAUGUAAGGUUCCUUAUGGACAACAUGUCAAAUGAGGCGGCGCUCAAUCGUUCAAAGCUCAUGUUUGAAACUGGGGAAAUCAAGUUUUCAAGGAACGAAACCAUAUAUGGCCAUGUACAGUGCACUAGAGAUAUCAGAGAAGAUGAGUGUCAGAAAUGUUUGAGCUCUGCUUUGAUUGAUCUCAAGGGAUGUUGUUCUUCGCAGCAAGGUGGAAUUAUUGUUAGUAGUAAUUGCAAUGUAAGAUUUGAGCUGUACAAAUACUACAACACCUCAAGUCACUUGAUAACAUUCCCAACUCCUAAAGGUGAGUAAACAUAAUUUGUUUUUAUUGAUAAACUGUCAGCAAACAGAAGUUAUGUUUUGAUUACACUUUAGUAAGAAAGGGCAGUACCAGUAAUUCUUGGUGUUUCAAAUGCUGGCUUUACUCAUAAGUACCCAAAUUGUUAAUGAUUGAUAUUGUUACUAUUAAUUCAUUCUUUGAAAGGUAAUGUAUUGGUACCAAAUUGUCCAGAAUCCUAGUCCAUUAUUAAAUGAUAUGAUACCAAAUUCUUGCUUUGCAAGGCAGGAGUAAUUGGAAGAUGGUGGCAAUUAUUGUGUUUAUACCUACAAUGGUGCUUACAAUAGUCAUUGGAUCUUCCAUUUUCUGUCUGAGGCGAAAAAGAAGAAGACAAAGAGGUAUCUGAACCAAGUGAUCAGGUCCACUUUAAUUAAAUAGGUUAAUUUACAUCCGAAUUCAAAAGUACUAAAACUCCUAUUUUUUAGCAGACAUGGAAAGAAGUCACCUAGCAUUAUUACAGGAAUUGGCCUGUCCAAGAGGGGUCACAAUGACAGAUGAAGGUCACUUGGUAAGUUCUGAGGACCUGCCUUUCAUGGACUUAACUACUAUCAGAGAAGCUACAGACAACUUCUCCGAUUCAAAUAAGCUUGGACAAGGUGGGUUUGGCACUGUUUAUAAGGUAAGUGGUCAAGGGGCUUUGCUGUCAUAAUCCACUGAGAUUCAGGAGUAUGUCUUUCCAAGCCAUCCCUCUAGGAAAACCGAGUUUUUUGUUCAGUUUGCCAUGUCUUAAUAUUGCUUCAGUUGAUAAUAUUUGCCUCAUUGCAAAUUUGUUUCAGGGUGUGUUACCAGAUGGGAAAGAAAUAGCUGUUAAAAGGCUGUCAAGGAAGUCAUGGCAAGGCUUAGAGGAGUUCAAGAAUGAAGUCAAAGUAAUUGCAAAAUUACAGCACCGAAACCUUGUGAGGCUAUUGGGAUGUGGCAUGCAAGGAGAGGAAAAGCUGCUCAUAUAUGAGUUCAUGCCUAACAAAAGCCUUGAUAUCUUUAUCUUUGGUCUGUUCCAUUCAUUUAUUUUGCCUUUGAAUUCUUAAAUUUUACAUUUUCAACAAUUAAAUGACGCAACAGGCUGAAGUUUCAUCUUAUUCAAAUUUCAGAUGCCGAAAGACGCGCACUUCUUGAUUGGGAGACAUGUUACAACAUAGCUGGUGGGAUUGCUAGAGGACUUCUUUACCUACACGAGGAUUCCCGGCUUAGAAUCAUUCACCGGGAUUUGAAACCUAGCAAUGUGCUCUUAGACCAUGAAAUGGUUGCCAAGAUAUCAGAUUUUGGCAUGGCUAGAAUUUUCUGCGAAAACCAGAACAAAGCUAACACUAGAAGAGUAGUAGGAACAUUGUAAGCCCUCUUUUAAUUUUAUUUUUUUUUACCUCUAAUUUCUUUUUCUAGUUUGGUGAUGAUUUUAGUCCUAAAUUCUUAUAACUUAUCCAAAGUACGUCUUACGCACGAAACAGCGGAUAUAUGGCUCCGGAGUACGCAAUGGGAGGGCUAUUCUCAGUGAAAUCAGAUGUCUUCAGCUUUGGUGUUAUACUACUGGAGAUCACAAGUGGGAAAAGAAGUAGUGGCUUUUAUCUCUCAGAACAUCGCCAGACACUCUUAGCAUAUGUUUGUACAAUACAUCGCUGCCAUCAAAAUUUCCAUUCAAAUAAUUUUCAACCUAUGAAAAAGAAUUUGAAGCUUGAAAAUUAUAACUAGGUACUGUUAUGAUAGUUUUUUUCAUGCAAUUUGACAGGCGUGGAGAUUGUGGAAUGAAGGGAGAGAAAUGGAAUUAGUGGAUCCUUCGUUGAUGGACAGAAGUCAAACAGAAGGGAUUGUGAGGUGCAUACAUGUUGGGCUGUUAUGUGUGCAGGAAGAUCCAGCAGACAGGCCAACAAUGUCAUUUGUGGUUCUAGCUUUGGGAAGUGACCCAAUAGCUCUUCCUCAGCCGAAACAACCUGCUUUCACUCUAGGUAAAAUGGUUCCAAUCUACAAGUCUUCACCGACAGAUCCUUCUGUAAAUCAAAUGACUGUUUCUGGUAUCGCACCGCGCUGAUUGUUAAUAAGAUUGCCACUGUUCUUGUCAAUGUCUGCGGCAAUUGGUGUGGUUCAGAAUAGCUAGUUUUCUUAGCCAUUUUGUUAAGAUCUCAAAAUGGUGAAUAGAAGACCUCAAAUUGUGUAUAAUAACAAUGUGUCUGAAUAGCUAGUUGGAAUUAUAAGGGUUCUGACAAAUUAUAAGCCAGAAAUAAAUAGCAUGACGAGACAUUGUCCACUAAUUAUUUUAAGGUGGUACUGAUAUAGUUUUGGUUCUGGUCACGUUGGUCUCUAACACUAACCACUACUGUUUUUUUUUUUUUUUUUUUGGAAAGGAAAAAUAUCAAUUUCAUCAAAUCUAAAUUGUAAAAAUACCCCCCUUGAACUUAUGCCAAAAAAACAUAGUUUUAAGAUAAUAUUUUUUUUAUAAAUAUUAAAACGAAAAUAUAUUAGAUCGACUCAAGUCAAUCUAUGUUAACAUAUAAACUUCACAAUCUAAAUCAUGAGACCGUUAUAAUCUCAUAGAAAAUAAAUAAAUAAAAUAUAUUGAAGUUAAAUUGUUAACUUACCAAAAUAUUGAAGGAUGAAAUUAAAAAAAAAUCAAUUAAAAAAAACAUGAAUCAAAUGAGUUAACCUACAAAACUUAUGACUUGAAUCAUGAGAUUAUGAUAACUUAAAAGAAAGUAAACCGAAAUAAAUUAUAAAAUUCAAUUUCCUAAUAAAUCCAAUAUUAAAGAAUGAAUUUGAAAAAAAAAACUAAAUGAAAAAUUAAAAAAAAAUUAUUGUUUCAAUUAACACUACUUUGUGAGGAGGUGAACAAUAAUUUUAAUUAUAUUUUAUAUUUAUAUAAAUAUCAAAUUGUCCUUUAAUUAACCUAAUAAUAACUUAAAAACUAGUGUGAAAAUAAAACAAAAAAACCCUGAGAAACAGUUUUAGAUUUUUUGCUUACAGUUAUAUUUUAGUAAUUAAUUUUAUUAUAUAUUAUAUAAAAUACAAAAAAAUUUAUUUAUCCUCAAUAAAUUUGAUCAUAACUAAUGAUUAAUAGAUGACAUAAAAUCAUCAUUGCACUAUUUUAUUGAUCAUUAUUUUCGCUCAUGUAAACAUUGUUUCCACUUAUAGUUAAUAUUGUUUUUUAAAGGGGAUUUAAUUAGGCUUUGUUAAUGUUUUUCUAAGUAGGUUGAGAAAACGAUAGGAAUUGAGAGGUUGUUUCCACUUAUAGUUAAUAUUUUCGCUCAUGUAAACAUUUUUUCCUUCAGUUUCUCAACAAAACCCUAAUGGAAAGGAAACAUUAAAAAAAUCAUAUUGUAAAAUCAUAGUUCAAAGGUUUUAAAUUUUUUUUUGUUGUUGAAUUGCCAAAGAGAGUUGGCUCUCUCGACUCACUAGUUCACCUAAAGGUUCAUAAAUUGGCAUUGUCAAGGAAUAAUUAAGAGGUUGUAUUUUAAUAAUUCAAUCUAUUAUUAAAAAAGAAAUUGCUAUUACUUUCAUUAAUAAUAGUUAAAAAUGUUAUUCGUUAUGCUAUUAUUUCAAUUUUUGAAUGGUUCUAGUAAGUUAUUAGAGUUUAUUUGGUAUUAUUGUAGUUUUUAUUUUUUAAAAUACUUUUAAAAUUAUUCUGCAUUUGAAAAGGUAUCAAAUUGAUGUAUUUUUUAGAUGUUUUUCAAUGAUUUUAACAUGCUAAUAAAAUAUAUAAAAUAUUUGGAUAUAUAGAAGAAUUCUACAUUUUUAUCCAUAUUUUUGAAUUUUAUGACCAUAAUGAUAUCAUAUUUUGUAGUUCAAACGAUAUUUUACAAUUUAAUCUUUCAUUAGACUAAAAGAUUAUAUCCCAUGUAUAAAAAUAAUAGAAAUUACAACUUGGUAUUUGAAAAUGUCGUUGAGAACAUUAACACAUGGUCUUCUUGGCGUAUGGAGAAUAUGAAAAACUCUUCGAACUUCCUAAAUUUGGAUAAAUUGUUUAUGUAGAAACGAUUGCAUCGCGCAUACAUAAAUGAGUCUAAGCCACCAAGAAUCAACAACAAACGAGCUGCAUAAUUAAUAACUACCUUACGUAAAAUAUUAAAUUUCAAAUAAAAUGAUGGAAUUUCUUUUAUAUAUAUAACAGUGUACAAUUUAGAUUGAAAAAUAGAUGGAAAGGUUUAAAAAUAAAUAAUAAUCCUUAAUUGAGAAUUUCUACGAGUUUGAGGAUAAAAUUAAUAAAAACAAUAUUUUUCAACAUGCCUUGAUUUAUCCCAAUUCUUCCAAGAAAAUUCCCAUGUGCUAUGCUUUUGGAUGACCCACCAUAUUUGACUGCUUUAUAUAUAUAAAUAUGGCCUCCCGGCCGCAAGGUGAAAGAAGACAGAAAACAAUUUCAGCUACAAAUUAUAGAUGAUUCUUGAUAGCUAGAGUCGAAAACUCAAAACACAAGAUAUGGGUCACAAUUUCCUUCUUGUUAAAAAAAGUAUUCAAAUGCUUUUGCUGUAUUUUUCCAUUGCCAACCUUCUUGAUCUUGCUUAUGCUGAUCCUCCAUACGGACUUUGCUCGAACAAAUCUAGUUAUACAGAUAAUAGUCCAUUUCAAAACAACCUCGAGACCCUCAUGGCUUCUCUUUCCUCAAAUGCUUCAGUUUCAAAAAAUUUCAAUACCUCUACUGGAAUUGAUCCAGACAGCGUGUAUGCUCAAUAUAUGUGCCUCAACUAUGUAACAAAUGAAAGCUGCCGUACCUGCGUAGCCGCAGCAUCUCAAGAUAUCAGGCAGCUUUGUCCAGGAGAUAAGGAAGCAGUUGUGUGGGGAGAGCUAUGUCAAUUGCGCUUCUCGAAUCAAAGAUUCUUAGGCCACUUGGAUGUUUCAGGAAACAUUCCCCAAUAUAAUCCAAAGAACAUUUCAAAUCCAGAACAUCUUAGUUUAGUAGUCAAUAAAACCUUGAGUAGUCUUAUCAAGAAGGCAGCUUUUGAUUCUUCAGCGAAUAUGUAUGCUACUAGAGACGAACCUUUCACUGAUAGUGACAGCUUUUUCUCUCUAGUACAGUGCUCUACAGACUUGUCUCCAAAUGAUUGUUACACAUGCCUUGAGGUUGCCGUAAAAAAUGUUACGACUUGUUGCUAUUUUUCUCGUGGAGCGAGGGUUCUCAGCCGCAGUUGCUAUUUAAGGUAUGAGUUAUAUGAUUUCUAUGACGGCGCAACUGAAUCUUCUAAAAGUCCGGUGACCGGAAAAGGUACUAAUUUGCUUAUAGAUCAAUUAAGACGUAAAAAGUGGUUAUAUUUGGCUGUAUUUGCUAAUUAAAAAAAACUAUACUUCUUGCACUUAAAAUAAUUUCUUUUCCCUAAUGACAGGCAACGAAAGGGAAAUAUGGAUAAUUACCAUCAGUACUGUGGCAUCAACACUUUUGGUGGUAGCAAUUUUAGUCUCCUUCUUCUGCCAUCUUCCGAUGAAAUUCAGAAUGCGAAAAUGCAAGGAUGCUUCUCAUGAAAUUCACUAACAUGUUCUUUUUGGUUUUCUUUGUAACCCUUGUUGACUUCUUGAAUCUUGUCACCCAGGUAAGAAAGAAAAUACUAGUGAAGAUGGUAAAUUUCGUGUGUUUGAUCACCCAAACCACAAUGAUUUCCAGCACCAAGAUUUUCAGAGAGAUGGCCUUAAUGAUCGGGAAUCCGCAAUUAUGGAUUUGGCAUCCAUAAAUGCAGCUACUGAUAACUUCUCUGAAACAAACUUGCUUGGGCAAGGUGGUUUUGGCCCGGUUUACAAGGUAAAUGAAUUACAAUAUCUUAUGUUCAAGCUCAAAUUACCUUACGAAGUACUCUAGAGAAGAGAUAGAAGGAGGUUUUACUAAUUCCUUUGUUGUGUAUUUUUGAAGGGUAUACUGAGUGAUGGAAAAGAAGUAGCAGUAAAGAGACUUUCAGCUUUGUCCGAGCAAGGCAAAAACGAGUUUACAAAUGAAGUUCUGCUAAUCAUGAAACUUCAGCACAAAAAUCUUGUUAAGCUUCUCGGUUUUUGUGUUGAUGGAGAGGAAAAGCUUCUGGUCUAUGAAUUCAUGCCUAACAACAGCCUAGACAUGGUCCUCUUUGGUAACUAGUCCUCUUUAAUAAGUUCCUUAAUGUUUUGAAAUCAGAAAUUUCCAUUCAUUGAUCUCAGAUACAAUAUGCUGAAAUCUUAUUUCUCAAAUACUGAAUACAAGCAAUAAUUUGAUUUCGUAUCAAUUUUGAUUUAACUGUAGAUCCGAGGAAAGGUGCUCAACUUAGUUGGAGAAGUCGUAUUCAUAUUAUAAAUGGGAUUGCGAAGGGAACUCUUUAUCUCCAUGAGGAUUCUAGACUUAGAAUCAUCCAUCGGGACCUGAAAGCUAGCAAUAUCUUGUUGGACAAUAACAUGAAUCCGAAGAUUUCUGACUUCGGAAUGGCAAGGAUCAUGGAAGCUAAUGAAGGCGAAGCCAAUACUGUAAGGAUAGUGGGAACAUAGUAAGUGAAUUUUCACCUGAAUUACCUUUGUAUAUUAAGAUAAUCACUUCAUUAGGUACCCGAUUUCCUAGACAAUAAUAAUAUAACAAAGCAUAAUGACAUGAUCCAUCAUUUUCCGUGUUUCAUGUAUCUAACUUUUCCGAGUCUGGAGUUUUUUUGGCCACCUCUGUCUCCACUAGCUGCUGGGAGCACAGAACAUAGGGCUUGUUGGAUAUUUACUUUUUCCAGGAUUACUAAAAUUUUUCUGUCCCUUCUGUUGAAUAGUGGAUACAUGGCACCAGAGUAUGCAAUGGAGGGACUUUACUCCACCAAAUCUGAUGUAUUUAGUUUUGGAGUUAUUCUGCUGGAGAUCAUAACCGGAAGAAAGAAUUCUGGAUUUCCACAAAUCGAAACGUGCUCCUAGCCUCCUAGCUUAUGUAAGUUUCUUCGGCAUAGAAUACACAUAAUCACUUACUUGACACGAUGAUAAAAAUGUUUAGUUAAAUGCACUUUCCGAAUCCUGAAUCAGGCAUGGGAAUUAUGGAACAAUGGAAAGGACUCGAGGAUGAUAGAUCCAGUGUUGGCUGAUCAUGCUGCUCUGAUGAAUUUUCCCGAUGNNNNNNNNNNNNNNNNNNNNNNNNNNNNNNNNNNNNNNNNNNNNNNNNNNNNNNNNNNNNNNNNNNNNNNNNNNNNNNNNNNNNNNNNNNNNNNNNNNNNNNNNNNNNNNNNNNNNNNNNNUUUUUUGCUGGGAGAUUUACAGACCACCACGAGGCAAAAGCAAAUGAUUGUUCUGUCAAUGGCGUAACAGUUUCUGAUAUUUUACCUCGGUGAUGAAGCUGGUGAAUGAAGGGUGUGACCACGAAGCCCUCUUAGGUAUGUCCGCGGCUAUAGUGGAUGGGGCAAAACACGUUCACUGUUUCACAGUUACAAAAAUUGGUAUGAAAGAGUAAGAAUGGAAUGAAAUCAAUUAUCU